UGUGAUUUUUUUCCAAGCACAUUUUACCAAUUCCAAACCAUAUCAAUCUUAAUAACUACCAUUAUUUUUUAUUUAAUCAUUUAUGAGUGCUAUACAAUAGUCCAGGAAAGCUGGAAGAGAAAAACAGGUCAAGAAGAACUGACAAAAUAAUUGCAAAAUAAUUAGGAAUUAAUGUGAAGAUUAAUUUUUAGUCAAAUCUGCAAGACAGACUUUCAGGAAAGGAGGUGGAAUAAAAAUGAGCUCCUAAAUCUUAAUCCCGGAUUCUGGAAGAUAUAUUCCUCAAACCAUCGGACAAGAGGAGGUGGUGCUGGUCCUUCACGAGUCACUCCAAUCUGUUCAUAAAGCCUAUAUAUAAAGUCUUAAUAUAUAGUAUUUCACAAUACUUCAUGGUAUUCUAAUUAAAUCAUUUUUUGGAAUCUUUGAUUUCUCAGAACCU
This is a long non-coding RNA of Carassius gibelio (silver crucian carp), 436 nucleotides long. RefSeq lists it as uncharacterized. Lineage: Eukaryota; Metazoa; Chordata; Actinopteri; Cypriniformes; Cyprinidae. The transcript has 3 exons. The record is from RefSeq and is a predicted model, not a curated record.